Long non-coding RNA from Lutra lutra (Eurasian river otter), 983 nucleotides. RefSeq lists it as uncharacterized. The record is from RefSeq and is a predicted model, not a curated record. Lineage: Eukaryota; Metazoa; Chordata; Mammalia; Carnivora; Mustelidae. The transcript is spliced from 4 exons.
GCUCCCUUGAUCUGGGAUGAUUGAUCUCCAUUCUUGAUGGCCACUUAUGACACUUUCUUCACUCUGAGUUGAAAGAAAGGCCAGAAGAGUUCUCUUCUAACCUUCUCUGACUGGGAGGAGUAUUCAGCUAUAUGAUACCAGUGACCACAGAGCACACCUCCUUCUUCCUACAGAGCCCAGAAUGCCCUUUCCAGAUCCUUUUUAAGGAGUCUGUAUUUGUUUUGCCACUGAAGGAGAAACAGAACCCAGAAGACCUUUAAGGCAUUGGAUCAAACUGCUGAUAGUGAGCUCUUCCUUGUUGCAAGAAAUAAGCCAUCUCUUCUUCCUUAUUGCAAGAAGUGUGGAUUUCAUUCAAACCCUCUGUGUGCCUUCCAGGACUGUUGGGACGGAAGUAUUUCUUCAGUGCUGAUCUGGGGGCCUUGACCAAGAGUGUUGACGGCUGGCAGCUAAUGUCUGUUUUCACUUCUGUGGCUUCUGGUGAGAGAGAACUUUGUGAGCCGGCCACUUGGGAGAAGAGGGCAUAUUACCCAAGAGCCAUAGUCUGCAGAACCUGUUUGUGGGUGAGAUGGGGACGAAGACAGGAGAAGAUCCCUAGUACAAUCUGAUUUUCCCUCAUUAUCAACAAGGAACCUAAAAAAGUAGGGCAAGUCCUGGUUGUCCAGGCUAAGAGAAUUGCCAUCUUCCUCAGACAGAAGGUUCUCAGACAUCACGUGGAAAAAGAGCCUACUUUGCAACAGUUCCUGGAGUUCUUGUCUCACUGUCUGUCUCUCAUCCAGGGACUGAGUCACGACUAAAUGCCCUUUUUAUGGUCACCAAGUGCGCCGCCUCACUAAAUCAUGUAUACACGUUUUUUUGCCCAGUGAGACCACAUCUGUUGUCUCUCAUUAGACAAUAGUGUUAUUACUGUUUCCUUCUGUUUCUGUCACCUGUUCAUCUGUGGAGGCCUCAUGGAAGGUGAAAAGCUCACCUGACUACCUUAUUUU